CGGGUGCUAACGUCCGUCGUGAAAAGGGAAACAACCCAGACCGCCAGCUAAGGUCCCAAAGUUGUGGUUAAGUGGUAAACGAUGUGGGAAGGCUUAGACAGCUAGGAGGUUGGCUUAGAAGCAGCCACCCUUUAAAGAAAGCGUAAUAGCUCACUAGUCGAGUCGGCCUGCGCGGAAGAUGUAACGGGGCUCAAACCACACACCGAAGCUGCGGGUGUCACGUAAGUGACGCGGUAGAGGAGCGUUCUGUAAGCC
This 255-nucleotide ribosomal RNA is filed under the name Pseudomonas aeruginosa. RNAcentral describes it as "partial 23S ribosomal RNA". It matches the Rfam family "Bacterial large subunit ribosomal RNA", at positions 992 to 1249 of the family's 2925-position model. The record is from RNAcentral. Lineage: Bacteria; Pseudomonadati; Pseudomonadota; Gammaproteobacteria; Pseudomonadales; Pseudomonadaceae.